Molecule: long non-coding RNA, 353 nt
Organism: Gambusia affinis (western mosquitofish)
Lineage: Eukaryota; Metazoa; Chordata; Actinopteri; Cyprinodontiformes; Poeciliidae
Exons: 3
Source: RefSeq, a predicted model, not a curated record
CACCCUGCCAUAGGUGAUAUGAAGCUGCUGUAGACUCAGAAUGGACAGUGAAAGACAACAGUUGCUGCAUCACAAGACAUCCCCUGCCUGCACUGCCCUAUCAUCUGUCCUCUGACCGUCCUCCGGUUACUGUCCACCGUGAUGAAGGAAGAGCGGUCAGGAGCAGCAGGUGUCUUCAUGGCUCCAUCAUUGGGUCUCUGACCUGGAAAACAACAUUAGGAAAGAAAAAAAUAGCAGUUGGUUUCUAGGUGCUCUCAGAUCUCUGAAAGAGAAGUCAACAGUUCUCACAAUGCCGUGAAUGUGGGACUCACAGCUUCUCACUUUGCUGCUCCGAUGGUGCCGUGCAGCAUCAC